AUUGAACGCUGGCGGAAUGCUUUACACAUGCAAGUCGAACGGCAGCACGGACUUCGGUCUGGUGGCGAGUGGCGAACGGGUGAGUAAGGUAUCGGAACGUGCCCAGUCGUGGGGGAUAACGUAGUGAAACUUACGCUAAUACCGCAUACGAUCUCUGGACGAAAGCGGGGGAUCGCCCGACCUCGCGCGAUUGGAGCGGCCGAUAUCAGAAUAGGCAGUUGGUGGGGUAAAGGCCCACCAAGCCAACGAUCUGUCGCUGGUCUGAGAGGACGACCAGCCACACUGGAACUGAGACACGGUCCAGACUCCUACGGGAGGCAGCAGUGGGGAAUUUUGGACAAUGGGCGAAAGCCUGAUCCAGCCAUUCCGCGUGCAGGAUGAAGGCCCUCGGGUUGUAAACUGCUUUUGUACAGAACGAAAAGGUUUCUACUAAUACUAGGAGCUCAUGACGGUACUGUAAGAAUAAGCACCGGCUAACUACGUGCCAGCCGCCGCUGUAA
RNAcentral lists this ribosomal RNA (500 nucleotides) under uncultured bacterium. RNAcentral's name for it is "partial 16S ribosomal RNA". It matches the Rfam family "Bacterial small subunit ribosomal RNA", at positions 30 to 523 of the family's 1533-position model. The record is from RNAcentral.